RNAcentral lists this ribosomal RNA (446 nucleotides) under uncultured bacterium. RNAcentral's name for it is "bacterial SSU rRNA". It matches the Rfam family "Bacterial small subunit ribosomal RNA", at positions 329 to 792 of the family's 1533-position model. The record is from RNAcentral.
GGCCAGACUCCUACGGGAGGCAGCAGUGGGGAAUAUUGCACAAUGGGGGGAACCCUGAUGCAGCGACGCCGCGUGGGUGAAGAAGCGCCUCGGCGCGUAAAGCCCUGUCAGCAGGGAAGAAAAUGACGGUACCUGAAGAAGAAGCCCCGGCUAACUACGUGCCAGCAGCCGCGGUAAUACGUAGGGGGCAAGCGUUAUCCGGAUUUACUGGGUGUAAAGGGGGCGCAGACGGCGAUGCAAGCCAGGAGUGAAAGCCCGGGGCCCAACCCCGGGACUGCUCUUGGAACUGCGUGGCUGGAGUGCAGGAGGGGCAGGCGGAAUUCCCGGUGUAGCGGUGAAAUGCGUAGAUAUCAGGAGGAACACCGGUGGCGAAGGCGGCCUGCUGGACUGCAACUGACGUUGAGGCCCGAAAGCGUGGGGAGCAAACAGGAUUAGAUACCCUCGUA